GAUGAACGCUGGCGGCGUGCCUAAUACAUGCAAGUCGAGCGAACGGACGAGAAGCUUGCUUUUCUGAUGUUAGCGGCGGACGGGUGAGUAACACGUGGAUAACCUACCUAUAAGACUGGGAUAACUUCGGGAAACCGGAGCUAAUACCGGAUAAUAUUUUGAACCGCAUGGUUCAAAAGUGAAAGACGGUCUUGCUGUCACUUAUAGAUGGAUCCGCGCUGCAUUAGCUAGUUGGUAAGGUAACGGCUUACCAAGGCAACGAUGCAUAGCCGACCUGAGAGGGUGAUAGGCCACACGGGAACUGAGACACGGUCCAGACUCCUACGGGAGGCAGCAGUAGGGAACCUUCCGCAAUGGGCGAAAGCCUGACGGAGCAACGCCGCGUGAGUGAUGAAGGUCUUCGGAUCGUAAAACUCUGUUAUUAGGGAAGAACAUAUGUGUAAGUAACUGUGCACAUCUUGACGGUACCUAAUCAGAAAGCCACGGCUAACUACGUG
This 497-nucleotide ribosomal RNA is filed under the name uncultured bacterium. RNAcentral's name for it is "partial 16S ribosomal RNA". It matches the Rfam family "Bacterial small subunit ribosomal RNA", at positions 28 to 507 of the family's 1533-position model. The record is from RNAcentral.